UUAGGUUUAAGCUAUUUAAGCUAUUGGAUUCAUACUCCAUUGAAAUUCUCCUAAA
RNAcentral lists this transfer RNA (55 nucleotides) under Amphitetranychus viennensis (hawthorn spider mite). RNAcentral's name for it is "tRNA-Met". Lineage: Eukaryota; Metazoa; Arthropoda; Arachnida; Trombidiformes; Tetranychidae. The record is from RNAcentral.